RNAcentral lists this ribosomal RNA (492 nucleotides) under uncultured bacterium. RNAcentral's name for it is "partial 16S ribosomal RNA". It matches the Rfam family "Bacterial small subunit ribosomal RNA", at positions 29 to 507 of the family's 1533-position model. The record is from RNAcentral.
AGUGAACGCUGGCGGUAGGCCUAACACAUGCCAGUCGAACGGCAGCACAGUAAGAGCUUGCUCUUACGGGUGGCGAGUGGCGGACGGGUGAGGAAUACAUCUGAAUCUACUUUUUCGUGGGGGAUAACGUAGGGAAACUUACGCUAAUACCGCAUACGACCUACGGGUGAAAGCAGGGGAUCUUCGGACCUUGCGCGAUUGAAUGAGCCGAUGUCGGAUUAGCUAGUUGGCGGGGUAAAGGCCCACCAAGGCGACGAUCCGUAGCUGGUCUGAGAGGAUGAUCAGCCACACUGGAACUGAGACACGGUCCAGACUCCUACGGGAGGCAGCAGUGGGGAAUAUUGGACAAUGGGCGCAAGCCUGAUCCAGCCAUACCGCGUGGGUGAAGAAGGCCUUCGGGUUGUAAAGCCCUUUUGUUGGGAAAGAAAAGCAGCAGGUUAAUACCCCGCUGUUCUGACGGUACCCAAAGAAUAAGCACCGGCUAACUUCGUG